RNAcentral lists this unclassified non-coding RNA (250 nucleotides) under plant metagenome. RNAcentral describes it as "partial contains small subunit ribosomal RNA, internal transcribed spacer 1, and 5.8S ribosomal RNA". The stretch from base 1 to 53 matches the Rfam family "Eukaryotic small subunit ribosomal RNA", at positions 1778 to 1831 of the family's 1831-position model. The record is from RNAcentral.
GGAAGUAAAAGCGUAACAAGGUCUCCGUAGGUGAACCUGCGGAGGGAUCAUCACAGAGUUCAUGCCCUACCGGGUAGAUCUCCCACCCUAUGUUAUUAUUACUUUGUUGCUUUGGCGGGCCGUUAGGCUCCGGCCCGACUACCGGCCCCGGCUGGUAAGCGCCCGCCAGAGGACCCAAAACCCUGAAUAUUAGUGUCGUCUGAGUACUAUAUAAUAGUUAAAACUUUCAACAACGGAUCUCUUGGUUCUG